RNAcentral lists this long non-coding RNA (398 nucleotides) under Homo sapiens (human). RNAcentral's name for it is "non-protein coding lnc-TMEM252-5:1". Lineage: Eukaryota; Metazoa; Chordata; Mammalia; Primates; Hominidae. The record is from RNAcentral.
CGGAAAAUAGUGCUGAGAGGGAGAGUACAUUCUACUGGAGAGUUUGAGAAUUCAUGACAGUGCACGACUAAGCAAAAGAAAAAAUAUAUACAUAGAUGUGCAGGGUUGUAAUAAUUUAUUUACUAAUUACUGAUUGAAUCAGAAAUUUAAAAAUAAUUGCCAAAUAUAGGUAGAACAGAGGAGGAGAAGUCAGGAGAGGAUAACUCUUCGUUUUUCAAAUUAGGAUAUCAAUAGAUUAUGCCUAAAAGUGGUAACAACAAGAAAUCUACUAUCAGUAGGUUAUUUUAAAAUAUGGAGGUGUGUCCGGAAUUGGUGGGUGCUUGGUCUCACUGACUUCAAGAAUGAAGCCGCCAACCCUCGCGGUGAGUGUUAACAGUUCUUAAAGGCGGCGUGUUAGG